CCUACGGGAGGCAGCAGUAGGGAAUCUUCCACAAUGGACGAAAGUCUGAUGGAGCAACGCCGCGUGAGUGAUGAAGGUUUUCGGAUCGUAAAACUCUGUUGUAAGGGAAGAACAAGUACGUUAGGAAAUGAACGUACCUUGACGGUACCUUAUUAAGAAAGCCACGGCUAACUACGUGCCAGCAGCCGCGGUAAUACGUAGGUGGCAAGCGUUGUCCGGAUUUAUUGGGCGUAAAGCGCGCGCAGGCGGUUUCUUAAGUCUGAUGUGAAAGCCCACGGCUUAACCGUGGAGGGUCAUUGGAAACUGGGAGACUUGAGUGCAGAAGAGGAAAGUGGAAUUCCAAGUGUAGCGGUGAAAUGCGUAGAGAUUUGGAGGAACACCAGUGGCGAAGGCGACUUUUCUGGUCUGCAACUGACGCUGAGGCGCGAAAGCAUGGGGAGCAAACAGGAUUAGAUACCCUGGUAGUCCAUGCCGUAAACGAUGAGUGCUAAGUGUUAGGGGGUUUCCGCCCCUUAGUGCUGCAGCUAACGCAUUAAGCACUCCGCCUGGGGGAGUACGACCGCAAGGUUGAAACUCAAAGGAAUUGACGGGGGCCCGCACAAGCGGUGGAGCAUGUGGUUUAAUUCGAAGCAACGCGAAGAACCUUAC
RNAcentral lists this ribosomal RNA (648 nucleotides) under bacterium HN3-5-21. RNAcentral's name for it is "bacterial SSU rRNA". It matches the Rfam family "Bacterial small subunit ribosomal RNA", at positions 338 to 974 of the family's 1533-position model. The record is from RNAcentral.